ACCCUUGGGACCCUGGAUCUCCUCCUGCCAGGAAGGCCUCGGGGACUUCGUCAUUCAUGGAAGUGACAGAGGAGCCGGCCUGGGUGGAAGACAAAGAGAGGCUGACGGGAAGCGGGCGGUUUCAGCUGCACCAGCCCUUUUUUGGAUUCUGCUCUCCACAGCUAGACUUCUCUCACCCCAUCAACUGCACCCUCUCUCAAAUGAAUGAAUGAAAAAACACUAAGUACUUAAUACAUGCCGGGCAUUAGAUAGAAACACAGACAAGUAUCACAA
Sarcophilus harrisii (Tasmanian devil) is the source of this 273-nucleotide long non-coding RNA. RefSeq lists it as uncharacterized. The record is from RefSeq and is a predicted model, not a curated record. NCBI's taxonomy places the organism in Eukaryota, Metazoa, Chordata, Mammalia, Dasyuromorphia, Dasyuridae. The transcript is spliced from 2 exons.